UACAGAGGGGGCAAGCGUUGUUCGGAAUUACUGGGCGUAAAGGGCGCGUAGGCGGCCUGUUAAGUCGAACGUGAAAUCCCUGGGCUCAACCCAGGAACUGCGUCCGAUACUGGCAGGCUUGAAUCCGGGAGAGGGAUGUGGAAUUCCAGGUGUAGCGGUGAAAUGCGUAGAUAUCAGGAGGAAUACCGAUGGCGAAGGCAGGUCUCUGGGCUGACACUGACGCUCAUGCACGAAAGCGUGGGGAGCAAACAGG
Molecule: ribosomal RNA, 253 nt
Filed under: uncultured bacterium
Lineage: Bacteria
Description: partial 16S ribosomal RNA
Rfam family: Bacterial small subunit ribosomal RNA
Source: RNAcentral